UACGUAGGAGGCAAGCGUUAUCCGGAAUGACUGGGCGUAAAGGGUGCGUAGGUGGUUUGAUAAGUUGGUAGCGUAAUUCCGAGGCUCAACCUCGGCGCUACUACCAAAACUGUCGGACUUGAGUGCAGGAGGGGCAAAUGGAAUUCCUAGUGUAGCGGUGGAAUGCGUAGAUAUUAGGAGGAACACCAGUGGCGAAGGCAGCAUACCGGCGCGCAACUGACGCUCAUGCACGAAAGCGUGGGUAUCGAACAGG
Molecule: ribosomal RNA, 253 nt
Filed under: uncultured Eubacteriales bacterium
Lineage: Bacteria; Bacillati; Bacillota; Clostridia; Eubacteriales
Description: uncultured Clostridiales bacterium partial 16S ribosomal RNA
Rfam family: Bacterial small subunit ribosomal RNA
Source: RNAcentral